GAUGAACGCUGGCGGCGUGCCUAAUACAUGCAAGUCGAGCGAACGGACGAGAAGCUUGCUUCUCUGAUGUUAGCGGCGGACGGGUGAGUAACACGUGGAUAACCUACCUAUAAGACUGGGAUAACUUCGGGAAACCGGAGCUAAUACCGGAUAAUAUUUUGAACCGCAUGGUUCAAAAGUGAAAGACGGUCUUGCUGUCACUUAUAGAUGGAUCCGCGCUGCAUUAGCUAGUUGGUAAGGUAACGGCUUACCAAGGCAACGAUGCAUAGCCGACCUGAGAGGGUGAUCGGCCACACUGGAACUGAGACACGGUCCAGACUCCUACGGGAGGCAGCAGUAGGGAAUCGUCCGCAAUGGGCGAAAGCCUGACGGAGCCACGCCGCGUGAGUGAUGAAGGUCUUCGGAUCGUAAAACUCUGUUAUUAGGGAAGAACAUAUGUGUAAGUAACUGUGAACAUCUUGACGGUACCUAAUCAGAAAGCCACGGCUAACUCCGUG
RNAcentral lists this ribosomal RNA (497 nucleotides) under uncultured bacterium. RNAcentral's name for it is "partial 16S ribosomal RNA". It matches the Rfam family "Bacterial small subunit ribosomal RNA", at positions 28 to 507 of the family's 1533-position model. The record is from RNAcentral.